AUACGGAGGGGACAAGCGUUAUUCGGAAUCACUGGGCGUAAAGGACGCGUAGGCGGGUUAUUAAGUCGGGUGUGAAAUCCAAUGGCUCAGCCAUUGAACUGCAUUCGAAACUGAUAACCUAGAGUAUGGAAGGGGCAGGUGGAAUUAGUGGUGUAGGGGUAAAAUCCGUAGAUAUCACUAGGAAUACCGAAAGCGAAGGCGACCUGCUGGGACAUUACUGACGCUGAGGCGUGAAAGCGUGGGGAGCAAACAAGAUUAGAUACCCUAGUAGUCC
Molecule: ribosomal RNA, 274 nt
Filed under: uncultured bacterium
Lineage: Bacteria
Description: partial 16S ribosomal RNA
Rfam family: Bacterial small subunit ribosomal RNA
Source: RNAcentral